This 230-nucleotide long non-coding RNA is filed under the name Lathyrus oleraceus (garden pea). Its description in RNAcentral is "Pisum sativum (pea) long non-coding RNA (PSAT_LNC034199)". Lineage: Eukaryota; Viridiplantae; Streptophyta; Magnoliopsida; Fabales; Fabaceae. The record is from RNAcentral.
UUUAUUUCUGACAAACUACAUAGGCCCAGGAUGCGACAUUCUGCCGAGUCCGCUUCCUCCAUAUUCUUUCACCUGUUUGCUUAUUCCAGUGUGUGUGCAUUCUUUGAGCAGUUUUUCAGCAACCUUAUUCUUUUCUUUUGAGCGUGGAUCCUGUCAAGUACGACGGACGUGUGGGGUGCUAAUACCUUCCCCUUGCGUAACCGACUCCCGUACCCUGCAAUCUCUGGUCG